Panthera uncia (snow leopard) is the source of this 849-nucleotide long non-coding RNA. RefSeq lists it as uncharacterized. The record is from RefSeq and is a predicted model, not a curated record. Lineage: Eukaryota; Metazoa; Chordata; Mammalia; Carnivora; Felidae. The transcript has 3 exons.
UGUGUGUGUGACCUGGGCCGCAGCGGCCGUGGGCCGUGGAGUCCUGCGCGCGCUGCGUGGUGGCCUGGCUUCCUGCGGGUGGACAAGGUACUCGAAUCCGAGGAGGAGGGCAUCACGGGAGUCUCUGAUGUGUAGCCAAGUCAGACAGAAGCGUGCCCUGUCUUGUAAGGGUGUGAUGCUUGGAGCUGCGGCAGCCGUUUUAUGCCCACGAGGAGCACCAUCUCCAAUACCGGGGUGACCACAAGUCUGGAUAUGACUCCCGGGAUGCAGGAUUUCCAGCACUAAAAUUGGAAAAGUCCUGGGCAACAGGAUAAUUAGUCGCCCUAACCUGGUGACAUGAAAGGGCAGAAGGAACUGGCCCUUUGCCAACAUCCUUGAAGGGCCAACCAGCUCUGGAAACCCCUAACCUCUGGAUUUUUCUGUUAUAUAUAAACAAUGAAUAUCUUCAUGGUUUAAGUCUCUGUGUCGUUACUUGUUUGUCGUCUUGCCUGCCCUCUCCGCCUUCUCCCCAGACCCAAACCCUGAGCCCCUGGGGGCAGACAGACAGCAGACUUUUCCAGUCUUCCCCUCCCCCCCAUCCAGUCUCGGUUGAACAGUCCAUGCUGAGUGUCUUCGUGUCCAGGAAAUGAGAUCAGGCCCAACCUGACUGCUUUCAUUCCUGGGUCAGGGGCUCACUACCCUCUCACCCAGUUCCCAAGGCCCCGGGGCCACCCUGCAGCUUGAGAUCCUGCCAGCCCUCUCCUGGCCCGUUGCUGACUCAGUGUCUUAUCACCUGUCCUGUCCCCGGCCCUCCUCCUGGGAGAGGCCCCACAGGUGGGUGCUGUUUCUCAUCUGGCCUUUUUCUCCCCU